CACAGGGAACAGAAAUUAUAUGGAUCUAUGGAUCUCAUGUGCAAAGCAGGAAACUCAACAAGUCUGUACAAGAGGUUGGAGCUCAAACUUUUUUCUUUUUCUUUCUGCUGUUCUGAAGGAGCUUAAUUGCUUGUGAGAGUCUAUUUUUCUCCAUUGCUUCCACUCUCCAUUUUGUGUUCUCAAGUCCUAACAUCACCACUGGCAGUUGAACAGAACCAAAAAAAAGGAAACAGAGCAAGUGAAUAUAUACGAAAAAUAUGCCAGGAUGUGACACCAAUAUGGUGGAAGACUGACAGUAAUAGAUCUGGUCCAUUUCUGGGAAUUUCCCUCUCUGUUAUUAAAUGCACUGAGCUGAUUUAUACUGCAGAUUGACGUUUACCACUUAUAACUAACACAACAGGUGCAGAGGGUGCAAAAAGUUCUUGUGAUUUGCUCAAGUAGGCUUCCAGAAAACUAUCAGAGGUCUGAUCAAACAAGGACAACUACAAAUAAUAGAAGUGUCAUCACCACCACAAACACCCCAGAGGAUCCUGUGAAAUGUUCUGUGGGUUUCUGGAGCGCUUUAUAGCUGAGGAGUUCAACAUAUCAGAUGCCAUUAAAGUAUGGUGAUUUAUCUGAAAGCCUUUCCUAUGCAACCCUGAUGCAAACACAGCAAUUCUGUUCCAGAAGAAUCUGCUUAAAGAUUCAAAGUAAGGUUGAAUUUUAUUUAAUACAUGAAGAGAUUUCAGUGAAGUAUUCUGAUAUUUAAUGAUUUCUGCUCAUUCUGUUUU
RNAcentral lists this long non-coding RNA (770 nucleotides) under Anas platyrhynchos platyrhynchos (common mallard). RNAcentral describes it as "lncRNA (ENSAPLG00000020820.1)". Lineage: Eukaryota; Metazoa; Chordata; Aves; Anseriformes; Anatidae. The record is from RNAcentral.